AGAAGAAACAAAGACUCAGGAGACACAGCGGUUUGCAAAUAAGUUUUCUAAAAUUAUACAAGCUGUGUUACCAAACUAAAGUAGGUACAGUAUUUCCCUUUGGAUGUAGUUGUCAACAACAACAAAUGAAAGUAAGGAACACAAUCAGAGAGAUAAAAACCUCAAAGUUAAUCUCUAGUGAUCUUUCCAAGUUUCAAGUUAGCACAUCAACUGGAAAAGAAUCAUUAUCAUAUUCGUGUUUCAUCCAUAACAGGUGUACUGCAACCCUCGAGUAAAUCACCAGAGCAAGGGUCUCAAUUAUGAGUAGUUUUCAAUGUAUCCCCUUAGUCCCACUC
This is a long non-coding RNA of Solanum verrucosum, 335 nucleotides long. RefSeq lists it as uncharacterized. The record is from RefSeq and is a predicted model, not a curated record. Lineage: Eukaryota; Viridiplantae; Streptophyta; Magnoliopsida; Solanales; Solanaceae. The transcript is spliced from 2 exons.